CAUGCAGUCGAGCGGAGCGAGGGUGCUUGCACCUUAGCUUAGCGGCGGACGGGUGAGUAAUGCUUAGGAAUCUGCCUAUUAGUGGGGGACAACAUUCCGAAAGGAAUGCUAAUACCGCAUACGCCCUACGGGGGAAAGCAGGGGAUCUUCGGACCUUGUGCUAAUAGAUGAGCCUAAGUCGGAUUAGCUAGUUGGUGGGGUAAAGGCCUACCAAGACGACGAUCUGUAGCGGGUCUGAGAGGAUGAUCCGCCACACUGGGACUGAGACACGGCCCAGACUCCUACGGGAGGCAGCAGUGGGGAAUAUUGGACAAUGGGCGCAAGCCUGAUCCAGCCAUGCCGCGUGUGUGAAGAAGGCCUUUUGGUUGUAAAGCACUUUAAGCGAGGAGGAGGCUACUCUAGUUAAUACCUAGGGAUAGUGGACGUUACUCGCAGAAUAAGCACCGGCUAACUCUGUGCCAGCAGCCGCGGUAAUACAGAGGGUGCGAGCGUUAAUCGGAUUUACUGGGCGUAAAGCGUGCGUAGGCGGCUGAUUAAGUCGGAUGUGAAAUCCCUGAGCUUAACUUAGGAAUUGCAUUCGAUACUGGUCAGCUAGAGUAUGGGAGAGGAUGGUAGAAUUCCAGGUGUAGCGGUGAAAUGCGUAGAGAUCUGGAGGAAUACCGAUGGCGAAGGCAGCCAUCUGGCCUAAUACUGACGCUGAGGUACGAAAGCAUGGGGAGCAAACAGGAUUAGAUACCCUGGUAGUCCAUGCCGUAAACGAUGUCUACUAGCCGUUGGGGCCCUUUGAGGCUUUAGUGGCGCAGCUAACGCGAUAAGUAGACCGCCUGGGGAGUACGGUCGCAAGACUAAAACUCAAAGGGAAUUGACGGG
RNAcentral lists this ribosomal RNA (870 nucleotides) under uncultured bacterium. RNAcentral's name for it is "bacterial SSU rRNA". It matches the Rfam family "Bacterial small subunit ribosomal RNA", at positions 54 to 917 of the family's 1533-position model. The record is from RNAcentral.